AUUAGAGUUUGGUGCUGGCUCAGCUUUCAUGCGCCGAGCAGUGGUUUAUACAUGCGAAGAAACAAGAGUUUCUGCACGAGUGAGUAUUACGCGAGUU
Molecule: non-coding RNA, 97 nt
Organism: Astrephomene gubernaculifera
Lineage: Eukaryota; Viridiplantae; Chlorophyta; Chlorophyceae; Chlamydomonadales; Astrephomenaceae
Source: the annotation of a GenBank genome assembly